RNAcentral lists this unclassified non-coding RNA (335 nucleotides) under soil metagenome. RNAcentral's name for it is "partial contains 5.8S ribosomal RNA, internal transcribed spacer 2, and large subunit ribosomal RNA". The stretch from base 1 to 120 matches the Rfam family "5.8S ribosomal RNA", at positions 35 to 154 of the family's 154-position model. The record is from RNAcentral.
GAUGAAGAACGUAGCGAAAUGCGAUAAGUAAUGUGAAUUGCAGAAUUCAGUGAAUCAUCGAAUCUUUGAACGCACAUUGCGCCCGCCAGUAUUCUGGCGGGCAUGCCUGUUCGAGCGUCAUUUCAACCAUCAAGCCCCCGGCUUGUGUUGGGGACCUGCGGCUGCCGCAGGCCCUGAAAACCAGUGGCGGGCUUGCUAGUCACUCCGAGCGUAGUAAUACAUCUCGCUCAGGGCGUGCUGCGGGUUCCGGCCGUUAAAAAGCCUUAUUUACCCAAGGUUGACCUCGGAUCAGGUAGGAAGACCCGCUGAACUUAAGCAUAUCAAUAAGCGGAGGA